UAGGGCUCCAUAAGGCACUGCCACAUGGAUCUCUUCAUUUAAGCCUCACAACUUUUGUAAGCCAAGUAUUGCUCUUAUGAUCUUGUUGCAGAUAUCUAGUGCUAUGUAACAAACCACCCCAAAACUUAGUGACUUAAAACAACAACAUUUCUUGGGUCACAAAUCUGCCAUUUGGGCAGGCUCCGUGGGGAAGCCCUUCCUCUCUGCCCCGUUCGUCAUCACUAGGGCAGCCGGAAGACUAUGGGUCAGAAUAUCUGAAGGCUCUCACUCUCACGUCUGGCCAUUGAUGCUAGCUUUUGACUGAGACCUCAGGUGGCACUCUCGAUCAGAACCUGCACAUGCCCUCUCCAUGUGGCCUAGGCUUCCUCACAGCACUGUGGCUGAGUUCCAACAUGAGAAAGAGAGAGAGAGAUUGAGAACCAACCAGCAGAAGCCAGAUGCCUUUUAUGACCUAGCCCAGGAAGUUACACUGCGUCAUCUGUGACAUAUUCUAUUUGUUGAAGCAGCCACAGGGACCUGCCCAAGUUCAAUUGGAGGGGACGUAGACUCCGCCUUGUAAUGGAAAGUUGUAAUGUUCUGGAAGAGCAUGUGGCACUGGAAAUACUGCUGUGGCCUUUUUUGGAAAAUAUACAGAGCCCCAAUUUACAGAAGAGAACAUUGAGGUGCUCUCCCCACACCCUGCCCAGAGGUUAUCUCAGGCCUGAAGCUCGCAUUGACAUCCCACACUUCGUGCACUGAGCCAGGCAGCAUCCAGCACACAUGAGGGCAGCCUGGUUAUGACAGCAACACGUCAUAUGCCCACAGCCAGACACAGCUGGAAUCACAGCCUCCCGUCCACCGCUACACAGCUGGGCGACCUUGGGCCUCACGCAGACAAACGUGCUCAUCAAGAGGGAGGAGCUGGGCCAGGGCCCGUGAGGAUUUCUCUAAAAUCCUUUUCUGUGGCUCUGACUUCUGAGCCCCCAAGUUCCUCUUCUCCGAGCCAGAACCAGGAUUUGCAUCAGGGGACCACAGCGCCUGACUUUCCUGGAGGCUCUGAUGCUCUUCUUAUCCUUGUCCCUCAUGGGUUUCUGUACCUGAGGGGUCCUCGGAAGGUCUUAAGCCACCUCCCAGAGUUCCUGGAUUAAAAAUGGAUACUUUCUCCAGAACUUUAGGAAUGAAAGUGAAAAAUAAAGAGCUUGAAACCUUGUCUGUGACUUUAUUUUGAGAUUACUAACAUCCCAAAACAACAAUCCCCCUCCCCAUUCUCCUCUUCUGCCAGCUCCAGCGUCCUCCAACUCAGGCCUGCCUGGGCCGGAUUAGGGAAGGGAGGGGUUACGGUCCAUGGAAGAGUCAUACCCUGAACUUUAUGGGGUUUGCAGCAGCCAGGUGCAGAGGUGGGUCCUGUCCUUUCUCCACAAGAGCCAGAAAAACUAAAUGCAGGCUCCGUGGGGCAAGUAGGAAGGCAAGGGGAUGGGAAGACAAAUAGUAGAGAGAAGAUAAAAG
This 1485-nucleotide long non-coding RNA is filed under the name Equus caballus (horse). RNAcentral's name for it is "lncRNA (ENSECAG00000056516.1)". Lineage: Eukaryota; Metazoa; Chordata; Mammalia; Perissodactyla; Equidae. The record is from RNAcentral.